This 80-nucleotide non-coding RNA is filed under the name human gut metagenome. RNAcentral's name for it is "Cyclic di-GMP-I riboswitch". It matches the Rfam family "c-di-GMP-I riboswitch aptamer", at positions 6 to 83 of the family's 87-position model. From Rfam's summary of the family: GEMM was predicted in a large-scale screen for bacterial structured RNA regulatory elements. Genes associated with GEMM are involved in a diverse array of functions, including chemotaxis regulation, signal transduction, secretion and chitin. The record is from RNAcentral.
AAUAGGGCAAAUCUGUCGAAAGGCAGUGGCGCAAAGCUAUAGGGUCUGAAUGUGCAUUUGUACAUAUGACUGCCAGCUGC